AACGAACGCUGGCGGCGUGGAUAAGACAUGCAAGUGGUACGCUGGCUGUCGGGUAGCAAUAUUCGGCAGUUGGAGUCGCGUUAUGGUGCGUAACACGUGGGUAAUCUACCGCGAAGACUGGAAUAACUUGCUGAAAGGCGAGCUAACACCGGAUGUGAAUGUUGAGGGGCAUCCCUUGAUGUUCAAAGUCGGGGACCGUAAGGCCUGACACUUUGUGAUGAACCCGCGGCCUAUCAGCUAGUUGGUGAGGUAACGGCCCACCAAGGCUUAGACGGGUAGCUGGUCUGAGAGGACGACCAGCCACACUGGAACUGAGACACGGUCCAGACACCUACGGGAGGCUG
RNAcentral lists this ribosomal RNA (344 nucleotides) under uncultured Verrucomicrobiota bacterium. Its description in RNAcentral is "bacterial SSU rRNA". It matches the Rfam family "Bacterial small subunit ribosomal RNA", at positions 29 to 351 of the family's 1533-position model. Lineage: Bacteria; Pseudomonadati; Verrucomicrobiota. The record is from RNAcentral.